This 1042-nucleotide long non-coding RNA is filed under the name Olea europaea subsp. europaea. Lineage: Eukaryota; Viridiplantae; Streptophyta; Magnoliopsida; Lamiales; Oleaceae. The record is from RNAcentral.
AAAAUUCAUAAAAAUCAAUAAAAAACUUUCAUACAAAUUUAUAAAAAAUCCACAAAAUCCACAAAAAUCGUCCUUGAAAAAAUGUUCAUCAAAUUCUUUGAAAGUCACAGUUGAAUACAUCCUUUUCAAUGUCUCGACUUUCCAAACACGCCGCCAAUAACCACCAUCUCUAUUCUGAUCAGAGGCGACUGUAAUUCCUCCGGCACUGGCCUCCCUUGCUUCUUCCAGCCAUUUUCCUUUGUCUUGUGCUCGUUGAUCCACCAAGGUCCCUGGUGGACACUAAGAGGCAGCUCCCCUUCCAUAACACUUCCGGAUCCAUCUCUUUCCAGUGCCCAGUUCCUUGCUGCCUUAGGGAGAAUCAAGGCAGCUAUAUUUUUCUAGGUUUCUUCUCCUAACUGCAUCAUUUUGGCCACUCUCUGAUUGAGGCGCUACUCUGAUUUUUCCCAUCUAGGUAAGCCCUUCAUCUCUGAUUUCAAUUCUUCAAUUUCCUUUUCUCUUCCUUCCACCUUGCUUUCUAUCUUCUUAGGGGCCACGAGGAUCAACGUACUCUGAUACCAAUUUGUUUGGAACCCAACCACAAAAAGAAGUUCCUGUAAAAGAACACAGAAAUAAGUAACUGAACUUUUAAUUGUAUUGAACAAAUUGACUAAUAACCGAAGGAUAACAGACUUAGAGAGGGACUCUCCACUAUCUCCUCUCUUCUCUCAAUUUAUGCCUGCCUCUAGACUCUUCUUCUACCUCUAUUUAUGAAUUUCUCCCAACUCAUUUGGCCUAACUACUUCCCCCCUACAACAGAAUGCAGUUCCCUUUCGUGCCAGCUGGGGAGUCGUGCUUCUUUACUCUUCUAGGAUAAGUGAAUCGGAUGGGAGGCUUAUCAUAAUCACAUAGAACUUGAACGAAUUGUUGGAUGCACACUGUAGGUGUAAAAUAUUUAUUCCCAGUAUUCAGAUGUUGCUAUCAAGCAAAUAAAGAAAAGUUGUUUCACACUUUCACUGGUCGACAGUGAGAGCAAGAGAGAUUGGUAAUACUUCCUUAGUUCCCA